CAGUAGCCGCGGGAAUACGUAGGUGGCAAGCGUUGUCCGGAAUUAUUGGGCGUAAAGGGCUCGCAGGCGGUUUCUUAAGUCUGAUGUGAAAGCCCCCGGCUCAACCGGGGAGGGUCAUUGGAAACUGGGAAACUUGAGUGCAGAAGAGGAGAGUGGAAUUCCACGUGUAGCGGUGAAAUGCGUAGAGACGUGGAGGAACACCAGUGGCGAAGGCGACUCUCUGGUCUGUAACUGACGCUGAGGAGCGAAAGCGUGGGGAGCGAACAGGAUUAGAUACCCGGGUAGUCCCUGUCUCUUAUAA
This 301-nucleotide ribosomal RNA is filed under the name uncultured bacterium. Its description in RNAcentral is "partial 16S ribosomal RNA". It matches the Rfam family "Bacterial small subunit ribosomal RNA", at positions 509 to 809 of the family's 1533-position model. The record is from RNAcentral.